RNAcentral lists this ribosomal RNA (405 nucleotides) under uncultured bacterium. RNAcentral describes it as "partial 16S ribosomal RNA". It matches the Rfam family "Bacterial small subunit ribosomal RNA", at positions 28 to 526 of the family's 1533-position model. The record is from RNAcentral.
GACGAACGCUGGCGGCGUGCUUAACACAUGCAAGUCGAGCGGAGCGGCGAAGGGGUGAGUAAGGCGGGGGUAACUUCCCCCCUCUCUGGGAUAACAGUUGGAAACGGCUGCUAAUACCGGAUAGUGGGGGAUGACUCGCGUCCUAUCGGCUUGUUGGUGGGGUAGUGGCCUACCAAGGCGACGACGGGUAGCCGGCCUGAGAGGGCGACCGGCCACACUGGGCUGAGAUACGGCCCAAACUCCUACGGGAGGAAGCAGGGGGGAAUCUUGCACAAUGGGGGAAACCCUGAUGCAGCAGCGCCGCGUGCGGGAGGACGGCUUUCGGGUUGUAAACCGCUUUCAGCCAUGACGCGGUAGUGGCAGAAGAAGCACCGGCUAACUACGUGCCAGCAGCCGCGGUAAUUC